UCUCCGUUGGUGAACCAGCGGAGGGAUCAUUAUAGAGUUUUAUAACUCCCAACCCUUUGUGAACCAUACCUCUCUGUUGCCUCGGCGCAGGCUGGGAGCUUCUGUAAACUCCCCCACGCGGACUCGCCUCCGCGCGGAGCAGGCCCGCCGGCGGCCCCUACCAAACCUCUUGUUUUUACAGUGUCUCCUCUGAGUUACAAACACAAAUGAAUCAAAACUUUCAACAACGGAUCUCUUGGUUCUGGCAUCGAUGAAGAACGCAGC
Molecule: unclassified non-coding RNA, 264 nt
Filed under: uncultured fungus
Lineage: Eukaryota; Fungi
Description: sequence contains ITS1, 5.8S rRNA gene
Rfam family: 5.8S ribosomal RNA (bases 216-264)
Source: RNAcentral